AGCAAAGUGGCCGAGCACAGGCAAAAGAUUGUAGCUCUUUACACGGGUCAUCCCCCUUUGUAA
This 63-nucleotide transfer RNA is filed under the name Microcondylaea bonellii. RNAcentral's name for it is "Unio bonellii tRNA-Tyr". The record is from RNAcentral. Lineage: Eukaryota; Metazoa; Mollusca; Bivalvia; Unionida; Unionidae.